GAUGAACGCUGGCGGCGUGCCUAAUACAUGCCAGUCGAGCGAACGGACGAGAAGCUUGCUUCUCUGAUGUUAGCGGCGGACGGGUGAGUAACACGUGGAUAACCUACCUAUAAGACUGGGAAAACUUCGGGAAACCGGAGCUAAUACCGGAUAAUAUUUUGAACCGCAUGGUUCAAAAGUGAAAGACGGUCUUGCUGUCACUUAUAGAUGGAUCCGCGCUGCAUUAGCUAGUUGGUAAGGUAACGGCUUACCAAGGCAACGAUGCAUAGCCGACCUGAGAGGGUGAUCGGCCACACUGGAACUGAGACACGGUCCAGACUCCUACGGGAGGCAGCAGUAGGGAAUCUUCCGCAAUGGGCGAAAGCCUGACGGAGCAACGCCGCGUGAGUGAUGAAGGUCUUCGGAUCGUAAAACUCUGUUAUUAGGGAAGAACAUAUGUGUAAGUAACUGUGCACAUCUUGACGGUACCUAAUCAGAAAGCCACGGCUAACUACGUG
RNAcentral lists this ribosomal RNA (497 nucleotides) under uncultured bacterium. RNAcentral's name for it is "partial 16S ribosomal RNA". It matches the Rfam family "Bacterial small subunit ribosomal RNA", at positions 28 to 507 of the family's 1533-position model. The record is from RNAcentral.